Molecule: long non-coding RNA, 480 nt
Organism: Gorilla gorilla gorilla (western lowland gorilla)
Lineage: Eukaryota; Metazoa; Chordata; Mammalia; Primates; Hominidae
Exons: 3
Source: RefSeq, a predicted model, not a curated record
CAUAGUGCUUUAGAACUGAGACAAUAAAUCUGUUUAAGCCAUCCAGUUUGUGGUACUUUGUCAUGGUAGCCCUAAGAAACUCUUGCACCUAGGAGUGAAUUUGAACAGAGAUGAUGGUCCCUCAUGUUCUAAGUCCCUCAGUUAAUGGAGUUAGGCCUUUUGAUUGAUUCAGUGUUUUUUUUAGAGCCAACUGGGUACAAGUCACAAGGGUAAGCACCACAGAGAAAUACAGAGAUAAAGAAGUCUUGGUUUCUGCACUCACUGGGCCUCCAACUUUGGAAAGAAAGAUAUGGGCCCUAGAUUGGAUUUGGAUGGACGGACUGACAACAGAAAGGGCAUGUCUAUGAAUAUCCAAUACUCUGUGUGCCCCUGUCUGAUCAAAGUACAUAAAUAGAAAAUCCUGAAAUAGCAUACUGUAAGAAUUUGGACUUCACUUAACCCAAGUAAAUACAAGGAAGAUUUUUGUCUAAGACCCUCUCC